AAUAGGAAAUUUAAGAGCGUAUGGUGGAUGCCUUGACUCUAAAAGACGAUGAAGGACGUAGUUUGGCUGCGAUAAGCUUCGGGGAGGUGCCUAGCAACCUUUGAUCCGAAGAUCUCCGAAUGGGGAAACCCUCCGCUUCGGCGGAAUUCUAUGAAUUACAUAGAAAGUAGACCCAGGGAAGUAAAACAUUUCAGUACCUGGAGGAAAAGAAAACAAACCACGCAAGUGGAAAUAUUUCCUAAGUAGUGGCGAGCGAAAAGGAAAGAGCCCAAACCUAGCCUCACUCUCACGAUGCAUUUAGUUGUAUUGUGGGAGUGAUGCUAGGGGUUGUAAGGCAACAACGUCAUUUUUAAAUGAGAAGAGUUAAAAAAUAUUUCGUUAACUGAAUGCGCUGGAAAGCGCGGCCCCAGAAGGUAAUAGCCCUGUAAGUGAAAAUGAAAUAUCUCUUUUGUUGUUGUUCUUGAGUACUUCGAGACACGAAUAGCUCGGAGGAAGCUGCCGGAACUAACCGGUAAGGCUAAAUACUUUUAGAGAUCGAUAGUGAACUAGUACCGCGAGGGAAAGGUGCGAUAGUGAACUAGUACCGCGAGGGAAAGGUGAAAAGAAGCCCGGUGAGGGCAGUGAAAUAGACCUGAAACCAUAUGCUUACAAGGAGUCAGAGCGGUGUGCACAAUGCACAUCAUAUUUGUGUUUUGAGUGAUGGACGGAGGAAUGGACAAGCGCCUACUUUCAGUCAAAGGUAGAGGUGCGAGGAGUAGCCCUUUAGCGGGAACGCGAGGUGAACUCCACUGAAAUUGUCGUUGCGUGUUUAGUUACGACUGAUGUGCCAUAUGUGGCAUAUUAAACUAGAUGCAAGAUGCGGCAGUGCCGUUUCCAUUUCAUUUCCCAUCAGCUGAUUGUUGGUACGGAAUUUAUUUCCGCCGCAAUCAGCUCCAUUACUCAAAACAUAAAUUGUGGUGAAUAUUGUGCACACCGUCAUGGCGUGCCUAUUGAAGAAUGCUCUCC
This 1005-nucleotide ribosomal RNA is filed under the name Candidatus Parcubacteria bacterium. RNAcentral's name for it is "partial 23S ribosomal RNA". It matches the Rfam family "Bacterial large subunit ribosomal RNA", at positions 1 to 623 of the family's 2925-position model. Lineage: Bacteria; Candidatus Parcubacteria. The record is from RNAcentral.